UCGAUCGCACCGAGGGCGAGAGAAAGGAUCGCAACAAAGGCGAAAGCGAACAAGGAUUAGUUGUUAGUCGUUAGUCAAACUCGGCAAGACAUCGCAUCUUGUGCCUACGUAUCUCAUCUGAACAUGAGAAUCAGAGUUGCCGUAGUUGGCCACAUAGGGAUUGCCAUCUGAACAUGGCACCUACACACAAAAAGGUGGCAAACAUGGAGCCCGACUGCCAAUCACUGGACUUACAUCAGCAUCCGAACCAAAAC
Molecule: long non-coding RNA, 254 nt
Filed under: Lathyrus oleraceus (garden pea)
Lineage: Eukaryota; Viridiplantae; Streptophyta; Magnoliopsida; Fabales; Fabaceae
Description: Pisum sativum (pea) long non-coding RNA (PSAT_LNC006801)
Source: RNAcentral